RNAcentral lists this ribosomal RNA (484 nucleotides) under uncultured bacterium. RNAcentral describes it as "partial 16S ribosomal RNA". It matches the Rfam family "Bacterial small subunit ribosomal RNA", at positions 30 to 507 of the family's 1533-position model. The record is from RNAcentral.
AUUGAACGCUGGCGGCAGGCCUAACACAUGCAAGUCGAGCGGAUGAAGGGAGCUUUCUCCUGGAUUCAGCGGCGGACGGGUGAGUAAUGCCUAGGAAUCUGCCUGGCAUUGGGGGAUAACGUCCGGUAACGGGCGCUAAUACCGCAUACGUCCUGAGGGAGAAAGUGGGGGAUCUUCGGACCUCACGCUAUCAGAUGAGCCUAGGCCGGAUUAGCUAGUUGGUGGGGUAAAGGCCUACCAAGGCGACGAUCCGUAACUGACCUGAGAGGAUGAUCAGUCACACUGGAACUGAGACACGGUCCAGACUCCUACGGGAGGCAGCAGUGGGGAAUCUUGGACAAUGGGCGAAAGCCUGAUCCAGCCAUGCCGCGUGUGUGAAGAAGGUCUUCGGAUCGUAAAGCACUUUAAGUAGGGAGGAAGAGCAGUAAGUUAAUACAUUGCUGUUUUGACGGUACCAACAGAGUAAGCACCGGCUAACUACGUG